AGAUGCUGCUGCUGCUUUUGCCACACUUUGAGAACCACUGCCCUGGUGAGGCAGGGAAGCUGGCAAGUGUAGAUACGGCACAGGCAUGCACUAAUCAGAAUGAAUGGAGGCCAAAUCAGAAGCAACACCAGCUGUAAGCAAGUCUGAACCAGUGUGGACUGCCGGCUUGCAUUUCCACAUACAACGAAAAGCAAGACCAGACUCUUCACUCAGCAAAAGCCGUACUUGUUGACAUUUAGAGAAAAAAACAAUCAAGAGAAAAGUCAAAGAUCCUUCAAAAUCUCAGCGUUUGAAUAUUUAAAGACCAUCA
This is a long non-coding RNA of Lemur catta (Ring-tailed lemur), 310 nucleotides long. RefSeq lists it as uncharacterized. Lineage: Eukaryota; Metazoa; Chordata; Mammalia; Primates; Lemuridae. The transcript is spliced from 3 exons. The record is from RefSeq and is a predicted model, not a curated record.